AGACCUUGCAGUUACUCUCUACCUCUACAAGACACUUGUUCUCUUGAACAUGCAUUUUGAAUCCAGAGAAGAGGUGUCUUAUGGAUGUUGAGAUUAAAGGGCAAUUUCU
This 109-nucleotide microRNA precursor is filed under the name Picea abies (Norway spruce). Its description in RNAcentral is "miR11466d stem-loop (pab-MIR11466d)". Lineage: Eukaryota; Viridiplantae; Streptophyta; Pinopsida; Pinales; Pinaceae. The record is from miRBase by way of RNAcentral.